Molecule: ribosomal RNA, 253 nt
Filed under: uncultured bacterium
Lineage: Bacteria
Description: partial 16S ribosomal RNA
Rfam family: Bacterial small subunit ribosomal RNA
Source: RNAcentral
UACGUAGGGGGCAAGCGUUGUCCGGAUUUAUUGGGCGUAAAGAGCGUGUAGGCGGCCAGGUAGGUCCGUUGUGAAAACUCGAGGCUCAACCUCGAGACGUCGGCGGAAACCCUCUGGCUAGAGUCCGGAAGAGGAGAGUGGAAUUCCUGGUGUAGCGGUGAAAUGCGUAGAUAUCGCCUGGAACGCCGACGGUGAAAACAGAUGACUGGGGGUGUGCCGACGCUGAGACACGAAAGCCAGGGGAGCGAACGGG